This 480-nucleotide long non-coding RNA is filed under the name Homo sapiens (human). RNAcentral describes it as "HSALNT0007043". The record is from RNAcentral. Lineage: Eukaryota; Metazoa; Chordata; Mammalia; Primates; Hominidae.
CCAAAGACCUUUAUUUCUUCCUGCCUCCCCGUGGGAAGCCUCCGCCCUGAGGUCCGCUGGCCCACCACCCCUGGGUGCUCAGUUUCUACCAACAUGAGCCAGCAAGCCAGGGAUGGCCGGAGGGCUGCGGGCUCCGCUAUUUGCAAAUGGAUGCCCCAGUGUCCGGGAUGUGUGGCCAGCUGCUGCAGGCAGGACUCCAGCGUCAGGAUGUUGCCACUUGGAGUAUGAACAAUGGGCACGGGGUUUUCAGCCACAGUUCCCUCGAGGCCAGUGUUCAGCAGGAUCAUGCCUUCUGUGUCUGGAAGAGGCGGCAGAGGCAACAGUGUUUAGGAUUUGGGUUAUCAUAAGGUGUUAAGAGUCCCUUGUUAAAGGGGCAGUGGGAGUUAUGGGGUCAUCAAGGACCUUGCCUCUCUGGAAUCUGUCAACCCAGUUUUGGGCUCCAGGUGGAUGGGUUGCUUUAUAAAUGUGCCUGGUGCAUGA